CCUACGGGUGGCAGCAGUGAGGAAUAUUGGGCAAUGGGCGGAAGCCUGAACCAGCCAAGUCGCGUGAGGGAUUAAGGCCCUGCGGGUCGUAAACCUCUUUUGCCGGGGAGCAGUGGUCCGGACGCGCCCGGACCGGGGGAGUACCCGGCGAAAAAGCAUCGGCUAACUUCGUGCCAGCAGCCGCGGUAAUACGGGGGAUGCGAGCGUUAUCCGGAUGUGUUGGGUGUAAAGGGUGCGUAGGCGGGCAUUUAAGCCGGCGGUCAAAUGUCGGGGCUAAACCCCGGCCUGCAGUCGGAACGGGGUGCCUUGAGUGGGCGAGAAGUAUGCGGAAUGCGUGGUGUAGCGGUGAAAUGCAUAGAUGUCACGAAGAACCCCGAUUGCGAAGGCAGCAUACCGGCGCCCUACUGACGCUGAGGCACGAAAGUGCGGGUAUCGAACAGGAUUAGAUACCCGUGUAGUC
This 460-nucleotide ribosomal RNA is filed under the name uncultured bacterium. RNAcentral's name for it is "partial 16S ribosomal RNA". It matches the Rfam family "Bacterial small subunit ribosomal RNA", at positions 338 to 795 of the family's 1533-position model. The record is from RNAcentral.